CAUUCUCACUUUCUCAGUGCAGAACCAUCCGCCUCCACCUCCACCUAAGCCAUCGCCAUCCCCAUCCGCCGCCGCCGCCGCUCAUCGUCCUCCACCUAGCCAGUGUCCGGCCUCCGCCACUCCUCCUCCUCCUCCACCUAGCCAUUCUCCGACCUCUGCCUCCGCCACUCCUCCUCCCCCACCUCGCCGAUGCCCCGCCUCCGUCGCUUCUCCACUAUGCCGAUGCUCCACCUCCUCCGCCGCAGCUCCUCCUCCACCUCCACCUCGCCGCCCUUGCGUUCCUGGUCUCCCCACGCCGCCUUUGCCGCCGCCACGGAGCGUGUCCGUGCCGGGGCGCUCAGCCCUGAAGACGCGCACCACCUGUUCGACGAAUUGCUACGGCAGGCCACCCCGGUCCCCGAGCGCUCCCUCAACGGCUUCCUUGCCGCCCUCGCCCGUGCGCCCGCCUCGGCCGCCUGCAUUAGAGAUGGCCCCGCCCUUGCCGUCGCUCUCUUCAACCGCGUGUGCCGAGAAGAAGCCGGCCUGCAGGUGGCAGCGCCCACAGUUUGCACCUACAACAUCCUCAUGGGCUGCUGCUGCCGCGUGCAUCGCCCGGACCUAGGGCUUGCCUUCUUUGGUCGUCUCCUCAGGACAGGCCUGAAGACAGAACAGAUCACUGCCAACACCUUCCUCAAGUGCCUCUGCUACGCCAAACGGACGGAAGAGGCUGUGAACAUGCUGCUUCAUGGGAUGUCCGAGCUCGGCUGUGUGCCGGAUGCAAUCUCAUACUCCAUUGUUCUGAAGAGCUUAUGCGAGAAUAGCAUGAGUCAGCGGGCAUUCGACCUGCUCCACAGCGGGCACUCGACCUGCUCUUUCAGUGUGGUGGCAUAUAGCACAGUCAUCCAUGGCUUUUUUAAAGAAGGCAAAACAGGCAAGGCAUGCAAUCUAUUCCAUGAAAUGAUACAUCAAGGGGUUGAUCCUGAUGUGGUGACGUACAACUCGAUCAUUAAUGCAUUGUGCAAGGCCAGAGCAAUGGACAAGGCAGAGCUAGUCCUUCGGCAGAUGGUCGAUAAAGGUGUUCAGCCCAAUACAGUGACUUAUAAUUGCAUGAUUCAUGGAUAUUCCACGUCAGGGCGGUUGAAAGAGGCUGUUAAAAUGUUGACAGAAAUGACAAGCCGUGGUCUUAUACCAGAUAUUGUUACUUACAAUUCGUUGAUGACUUCCCUUAGCAAGCAUCGAAGAAGCAAAGAAGCGGCAGAAAUAUUUUAUUCCAUGACUGCCAAGGGCCACAAACCGAAUGCUGCCUCGUACCGUAUUUUGCUUAAUGGGUAUGCCACUGAGGGAUGCUUUGCUGAUAUGAUUGAUCUCUUCAACUCAAUGGAAAGCAAUGGUUUUGUAGCCGACUGCCAUGUUUUCACCAUAUUAAUUGAUGCAUAUGCUAAACGUGGAAUGAUGGAUGAAGCUAUGCUCAUAUUUACUGAAAUGCGGGAAAAAGGAGUGAGUCCCGAUGUAUUCACCUAUUACACUGUAAUAGCCGCACUUUGCAGAUUGGGUAGGCUGGCCGAUGCUAUGGACAGGUUCAAUGAGAUGACUGAUAUGGGUGUUCAGCCGAACACAGUUGUUUAUCACUCCCUAAUUCAGGGUUUUUGUAUGCUUGGUGAUUUGGUUAAAGCUAAGGAGUUGGUGUCUGAAAUGAUGAACAAAGGUAUUCCUCGUCCUGACAUUGCGUUCUUCAGUUCAAUAAUAAACAGUCUAUGCAAAGAAGGAAGAGUUAUGGAUGCACAAGAUAUCUUUGAAUUGGUUAUAAGCAUAGAUGAGAGACCUGACGUCAUUACAUUUAACUCACUGAUUGAUGGAUAUGGCUUAAUUGGCCAGAUGGAUAAAGCAUUUGGAGUGCUUGAUGCCAUGGUAUCAGCUGGCAUUGAGCCUAAUGUUGUUACGUAUAGUUCACUUCUUGAUGGCUAUUGUAGAAAUGGAAGGAUCGAUGAUGCUUUGAUUCUAUUCAGAGAAAUGCCGCGCAAGAGAAUUAAACCUAACACUGUUACAUAUGGCAUCAUACUGCAUGGGUUGUUCCGUGCUGGGAGAACUGUUGCUGCAAGGAAAAUGUUCGAUGAGAUGAUCGAAGGGGGUAUACCAGUGAGCAUUUCCAUAUACAAUAUAAUACUUGGAGGUCUUUGUAGAAAUAAUUGUGCAGACGAAGCAAUCACACUAUUUCAGAAAUUAGGAGCAAUGAAUGUCAAGUUCGAUAUUAUAACACUCAAUACCAUGAUUAAUGCAAUGUUCAAGGUUCGGAGAAGAGAAGAAGCUAAUGAUUUGUUUGCUGCAAUAUCAGCCAGUGGGUUGGUGCCUAAUGCUUCUACUUACGGCAUAAUGAUAGAAAAUAUUCUAAAAGAAGGAUCAGUGGAAGAAGUUGACAAUAUGUUUUCAUCAAUGGAGAAGAGUGGUUGUGCUCCCAGCUCUCGUCUUAUAAAUUGUAUCAUCAGAAUGUUGUUGGAAAAAGGCCCUCCUGCCAGUAAAAGAUAUCCAGAUUGCCUGCUUGCAGAAAGUAGAUCUGUCACUAUUUCAUUGAGUUCAUUCUGCGGUGUGUCAAAACCACAAGAAUUUGAAAUGACUAUGGAACUUUUGAUCUUUGAUGGGUGAGGAAAGUUAGACCAAGUAGUCAUGAAUGGUUGCAAUUUUGGGGCUAAUGGCUUCUGAUUGCGAUUAGGGAAGGUAACCACAAUGAAUACUAAUGCAAUCUUUUGUAGUAGCUUCCUGAGAUUUUGCAAUCUCUCUAAAACAGUCAUUUUCCUUUAUAUGCAUGCAAUUUUAGCCAUGUCAUUCUCAACGAUCUGCUCUGUAUGCAAGUGGAUUUACUUUUACUUUGAGAUAUUUUCUCUAUUGUCAGGGCGAAUGGGUCCUGGAAGAACGAUGUUUGAGCGGGCUGAUGCUAUGCUCAAGUAUUGGAUAUACAAGUUCAUGCCACUCUACGCUGCCAGUUACACUGGUGGAGUCUGUUGCAUACACAUAGGAGAAAUAUUUUCAGUAAGGUACGGCAAAGAAUUCACUGCUGUGACCUUUAGCUUCAGUGCGCGUGACACCAACUCCGCCUUGGGUGACAGAGGAGAGAGAAUUGAUGGAUCUGAUUGAUGAGACCGUCCUGCUCUCGUACGCGUAUGUUGUGCAUUCCUCUCCAUUUCUGCUGUCCUCAAUUCUCUGUCGCUACUGCUCUUCCAUAGUAAAUUGUUCCAAGAAUCCAAGCUGCGACCUUUACCUGUCAAUUGGUCAUCCAGUGCUCAAUGUUUUGUUGCUGAUUAAAUCACACUGAGUGGGACGAGGCACUGCUGCCAGCCUCGCAUCGAUUCGCUGUGUUUACGCCUCUCCGCUUCCGGAGCUCACAUAUAUACAAUGAGCGCCGCUGAGACGUAAACUGUGUUUUCAAGGAAUUGAGGUGGAUUGAAGGCGCAGAACUGUUCCCGAAAGAUGGAUGUGGAAGGACUCACUGCAAGUGGAACUCGCCACACGAAAAGGAAAUCUCACAGAAAGUUCUCUUUUGUGCCUUGCAAGAUCUAAUGGCCAGAAAUACUUUCAACACCUGAAUCUGACCCACUGCUUUGAAUAGAAGAAUACUGUUGAAUUCUGCAAAUUCAAUGAAGUUUGUCAGGAAUAUUUGAGGCUGUAAAAGUGCGCCAUACUAUAUACGUCAAUGGACUCGCCAAAACCAUCACGCGGCUGCAACUGAUUGAGCAACUGAACUGCAGCCUCCCCGAGUUUCAUCCUGUGAUAUGUUCUGGAGAGAACUUCAUCCGGUGAUUAUGAAGAAGAAUCAGCAUAAGUUAAGAACAUCUGAUCGAAAUAGCCCCCCGUAGCUUCCUCAAUGACUUUACAGAUGUGAUCUGCAUACAUAUAUAGUACCUUUUUCCCAAAGGGUUGUGAUGAAUACUAGGAUUUUACGUAGAAGGAGCAA
Molecule: RNA transcript, 3925 nt
Organism: Triticum dicoccoides
Lineage: Eukaryota; Viridiplantae; Streptophyta; Magnoliopsida; Poales; Poaceae
Gene name: protein Rf1, mitochondrial-like
Exons: 6
Source: RefSeq, a predicted model, not a curated record